RNAcentral lists this ribosomal RNA (198 nucleotides) under uncultured bacterium. RNAcentral describes it as "partial 16S ribosomal RNA". It matches the Rfam family "Bacterial small subunit ribosomal RNA", at positions 336 to 526 of the family's 1533-position model. The record is from RNAcentral.
CUCCUACGGGAGGCAGCAGUGGGGAAUAUUGGACAGUGGGCGCAAGCCUGAUCCAGCAAUGCCGCGUGUGUGAAGAAGGCCUUCGGGUUGUAAAGCACUUUUAUCAGGAGCGAAAUACUACCGGUUAAUAACCGGUGGGGCUGACGGUACCUGAGGAAUAAGCACCGGCUAACUUCGUGCCAGCAGCCGCGGUAAUUC